GAUGAACGCUGGCGGCGUGCUUAACACAUGCAAGUCGAACGAAGUCCAUGGAGCUUGCUCCGGAAGACUUAGUGGCGAACGGGUGCGUAACACGUGAGAAACCUGCCCCGGACUUUGGGAUAACAGUUGGAAACGACUGCUAAUACCGAAUACCACCAUUUCCUCGCAUGGGGAGAUGUUGAAAGGUCCGCCGGUCCGGGAGGGUCUCACGGCCUAUCAGCUUGUUGGAGAGGUAACGGCUCACCAAGGCAUCGACGGGUAGCUGGUCUGAGAGGAUGAUCAGCCACACUGGGACUGAGACACGGCCCAGACUCCUACGGGAGGCAGCAGUGGGGAAUCUUGCACAAUGGGCGCAAGCCUGAUGCANCAACGCCNCNUGCGGGAAGAAGGCCCNAGGGUUGU
Molecule: ribosomal RNA, 402 nt
Filed under: uncultured Actinomycetes bacterium
Lineage: Bacteria; Bacillati; Actinomycetota; Actinomycetes
Description: bacterial SSU rRNA
Rfam family: Bacterial small subunit ribosomal RNA
Source: RNAcentral